This 490-nucleotide ribosomal RNA is filed under the name uncultured bacterium. Its description in RNAcentral is "partial 16S ribosomal RNA". It matches the Rfam family "Bacterial small subunit ribosomal RNA", at positions 30 to 507 of the family's 1533-position model. The record is from RNAcentral.
AUUGAACGCUGGCGGCAGGCCUAACACAUGCAAGUCGAGCGGAAACAGGAAGAAGCUUGCUUCUUUGCUGACGAGUGGCGGGCGGGUGAGAAAUGUCUGGGAAACUGCCUGAUGGAGGGGGAUAACUCCUGGAAACGGUAGCUAAUACCGCAUAACGUCGCAAGAGCAAAGAGGGGGAGCUUCAGGCCUCUUGCCAUCGGCUGUGCCCAGAUGGGAUUAGCUAGUAGGUGGGGUAACGGCUUACCGAGGCGACGAUCCCUAGCUGGUCUGAGAGGAUGACCAGCCACACUGGAACUGAGACACGGUCCAGACUCCUACGGGAGGCAGCAGUGGGGAAUAUUGCACAAUGGGCGCAAGCCUGAUGCAGCCAUGCCGCGUGUAUGAAGAAGGCCUUCGGGUUGUAAAGUACUUUCAGCGGGGAGGAAGAGAGGUGUGUUAAUCCCUGCGCUCAUUGACGUUACCCGAAGAAGAAGCCCCGGCUAACUCCGUG